UAUGCGUGCGAUCGAGAACAGGGCCAAGAGAAGAGCCAAAAACCCUAACAACCAAAAAUCAUCAAAUUGAUAAGGAGAUCAAGGGAAAAAUCGAAUGCAUGGGUCUGGAUACUCUUUAAUCUAAGUGUAUUGAUCAUAAGGAACGUGUCAAGGAGAGCUCAAGCAUAGGAGGAUAACGGGUCAAGAUAAGACAAGGUGACAAAUACACUUAUUGGAGUACUCAAGGUAAGUGAUUUCUAUAAUCACUUCUUUAGUUGUUUAAGUAAUAUAAUGUUUUAAUUAUUAAGUUCAUAUGAAGUUGAGGUCAAAAAUAUUAUUUAUGUGAUUUAUGCGCCGUCGGUUGCGGUAUAUUAUCCGUGAAUUACGACGGGCCUCCCAAACAUGGUUUCGAGUGUUUCCUUGACGAUUAUAAGUUGUAAACCCAAGUCUAAGCCUCAUGUAAUUUAUAUAAGAGUGUGUUAGAUGUAUGUAAUGAGGUUGGACAUGUAUUACAUGUAAAUGUAUACAAAAAUACGUACGGAACACGUAGGUAUGAAUACAUGAUUGUAGGUAUGAUUAAAUGUAUUUUAGGUAUGUAGAUGUGUAUGUUUGUAAGAUCGUAUGUGUGCAAGUAUGUGCGAAUGCAUGAUUUGGAUGCAUUUGAGAAUUAGCGUUACUAAUAAUGCCCUUGAGUUUGGAAUAUAAGUUAAUUGGAUGCAUUUAAAUGGUUGACGUCCUUUUUAUGAAAAUGUAGUAAAUGAAUAUGUUGAGAUUACGGGUUUGGCUAACCAAGUUAUUACUGAGUAUGUUUGAAAGUGCAGGUUAUGAAUGUCGGACUUUCAAAGUGUUGAUAUAAUAAUGAAACGGUUGAAUCUUGAAAGGAUAAUCGGAUUGAAGUAACUUAUGCGGUUAGAAUAUGCGGUGGACGUUUUAGUUUAUACAACAUUUUAUGUUUGGUCGUCAUCAUCUACCAACGGGGUAAGCGCAGUUGUAGGAAGAGAUGAUCCGUGAAUGCGGUCUAGGACCGGCAUCAAGGCAAGUAAUAAGACGAAUUGACCCCUGGUAUGUAUACUAAACGCGUUAAUGUAUGAAAUAGUAUAAGUAGGUAAGUGAAAGAAAAUUUUAAAUGAAUAUAACAAUGACAUGGUAAAGGAGUUUUU
Molecule: long non-coding RNA, 1139 nt
Filed under: Helianthus annuus (common sunflower)
Lineage: Eukaryota; Viridiplantae; Streptophyta; Magnoliopsida; Asterales; Asteraceae
Description: hypothetical non coding rna
Source: RNAcentral